GCAUAUCAAUAAGCGGAGGAAAAGAAACCAACAGGGAUUGCCCUAGUAACGGCGAGUGAAGCGGCAACAGCUCAAAUUUGAAAUCUGGCCUUCGGGUCCGAGUUGUAAUUUGUAGAGGAUGCUUUUGGUGAGGUACCUUCCGAGUUCCCUGGAACGGGACGCCAUAGAGGGUGAGAGCCCCGUCUGGUUGGAUACCGAUCCUCUGUAAAGCUCCUUCGACGAGUCGAGUAGUUUGGGAAUGCUGCUCUAAAUGGGAGGUAUAUGUCUUCUAAAGCUAAAUAUUGGCCAGAGACCGAUAGCGCACAAGUAGAGUGAUCGAAAGAUGAAAAGCACUUUGAAAAGAGAGUUAAAAAGUACGUGAAAUUGUUGAAAGGGAAGCGCUCAUGACCAGACUUGGGCUUGGUUGAUCAUCCAGGGUUCUCCCUGGUGCACUCUUCCAGCCCAGGCCAGCAUCAGUUCGCUGUGGGGGAUAAAGGCUUCGGGAAUGUGGCUCCUCCGGGAGUGUUAUAGCCCGUUGCGUAAUACCCUGUGGUGGACUGAGGUUCGCGCAUCUGCAAGGAUGCUGGCGUAAUGGUCAUCAGCGACCCGUCUUGAAACACGGACCAAGGAGUCGUCUUCGUAUGCGAGUGUUCGGGUGUUAAACCCCUACGCGUAAUGAAAGUGAACGCAGGUGAGAGCUUCGGCGCAUCAUCGACCGAUCCUGAUGUUCUCGGAUGGAUUUGAGUAAGAGCAUACGGGGCCGGACCCGAAAGAAGGUGAACUAUGCCUGUAUAGGGUGAAGCCAGAGGAAACUCUGGUGGAGGCUCGCAGCGGUUCUGACGUGCAAAUCGAUCGUCAAAUAUGGGCAUGGGGGGCGAAAGACUAAUCGAACCUUCUAGUAGCUGGUUUCCGCCG
Molecule: ribosomal RNA, 894 nt
Filed under: Ilyonectria europaea
Lineage: Eukaryota; Fungi; Ascomycota; Sordariomycetes; Hypocreales; Nectriaceae
Description: LSU rRNA
Rfam family: Eukaryotic large subunit ribosomal RNA
Source: RNAcentral